Molecule: ribosomal RNA, 454 nt
Filed under: uncultured bacterium
Lineage: Bacteria
Description: bacterial SSU rRNA
Rfam family: Bacterial small subunit ribosomal RNA
Source: RNAcentral
UACGGAAGGCAGCAGGGGGAAUAUUGCACAAUGGGCGCAAGCCUGAUGCAGCCAUGCCGCGUGUAUGAAGAAGGCCUUCGGGUUGUAAAGUACUUUCAGCGGGGAGGAAGGCGAUGCGGUUAAUAACCGCGUCGAUUGACGUUACCCGCAGAAGAAGCACCGGCUAACUCCGUGCCAGCAGCCGCGGUAAUACGGAGGGUGCAAGCGUUAAUCGGAAUUACUGGGCGUAAAGCGCACGCAGGCGGUCUGUUAAGUCAGAUGUGAAAUCCCCGGGCUUAACCUGGGAACUGCAUUUUGAAACUGGCAGGCUUGAGUCUCGUAGAGGGGGUAGAAUUCCAGGUGUAGCGGUGAAAUGCGUAGAGAUCUGGAGGAAUACCGGUGGCGAAGGCGGCCCCUGGGACGAAGACUGACGCUCAGGGUGCGAAAGCGUGGGGAGCAAACAGGGAUUUAGAUA